AUGCGGCGACGCAGAGCGGAACCCGAAAAACCCUGUCUCAGUUCGGAUUGGAGUCUGCAACCCGACUCCAUGAAGCUGGAUUCGCUAGUAAUCGCGCAUCAGCCACGGCGCGGUGAAUACGUUCCCGGGCCUUGUACACACCGCCCGUCAAGCCAUGGAAGCCGGGAGUGCCUGAAGUGCGUGAGCGCAAGCAGCGCCCUAAGGUAAAACCGGUGACUGGGGCUAAGUCGUAACAAGGUAGC
This 242-nucleotide ribosomal RNA is filed under the name uncultured bacterium. RNAcentral describes it as "partial 16S ribosomal RNA". It matches the Rfam family "Bacterial small subunit ribosomal RNA", at positions 1252 to 1500 of the family's 1533-position model. The record is from RNAcentral.